This 101-nucleotide microRNA precursor is filed under the name Marmota monax (woodchuck). The record is from RNAcentral. Lineage: Eukaryota; Metazoa; Chordata; Mammalia; Rodentia; Sciuridae.
AGGACAAUUGUUGGACCAUAUGGUAAAAAUGUUUAGUUUUGGAAGAAACUGCCAAACUGUUUUCUAAAUUAGCUGUACCAUUUUUCAUUCCCACCAGCAGU